Molecule: ribosomal RNA, 292 nt
Filed under: uncultured bacterium
Lineage: Bacteria
Description: partial 16S ribosomal RNA
Rfam family: Bacterial small subunit ribosomal RNA
Source: RNAcentral
GUGCCAGCAGCCGCGGUAAUACAGAGGGUGCAAGCGUUAAUCGGAUUUACUGGGCGUAAAGCGUGAGUAGGUGGCUCGCCAAGUCGAUUGUGAAAGCCCUGGGCUCAACCUGGGAAUUGCAGUCGAUACUGGUGAACUAGAGUUCGGUAGAGGGUGACGGAAUUCCCGGUGUAGCGGUGAAAUGCGUAGAUAUCGGGAGGAACAUCGAUGGCGAAGGCAAUCACCUGGGCCUGAACUGACACUGAGACACGAAAGCGUGGGUAGCAAACAGGAUUAGAUACCCUGGUAGUCC